CCCUUAGAUGUUCUGGGCUGCACGCGCGCUACACUGAAGCGUUCAACGAGUAUUCACCUUGCCCGGGAGGGUUGGGUAAUCUUUUUAAAACGCUUCGUGAUGGGGAUAGAUUAUUGCAAUUAUUAAUCUUCAACGAGGAAUUCCUAGUAAGCGCGAGUCAUCAGCUCGUGCUGAUUACGUCCCUGCCCUUUGUACACACCGCCCGUCGCUCCUACCGAUUGAAUGGUCCGGUGAAGCGUUCGGACCGUGGCCUUUGGACGGUUCGCCGUCUGUUGGCUGCGGGAAGUUCGUUAAACCUUAUCAUUUAGAGGAAGGAGAANUCGUAACA
Molecule: ribosomal RNA, 328 nt
Filed under: uncultured eukaryote
Lineage: Eukaryota
Description: partial 18S ribosomal RNA
Rfam family: Eukaryotic small subunit ribosomal RNA
Source: RNAcentral